Molecule: ribosomal RNA, 465 nt
Filed under: Vreelandella stevensii
Lineage: Bacteria; Pseudomonadati; Pseudomonadota; Gammaproteobacteria; Oceanospirillales; Halomonadaceae
Description: partial 16S ribosomal RNA
Rfam family: Bacterial small subunit ribosomal RNA
Source: RNAcentral
CCUACGGGGGGCAGCAGUGGGGAAUAUUGGACAAUGGGGGCAACCCUGAUCCAGCCAUGCCGCGUGUGUGAAGAAGGCCCUCGGGUUGUAAAGCACUUUCAGUGAGGAAGAACGCCUGGUGGUUAAUACCCAUCAGGAAAGACAUCACUCACAGAAGAAGCACCGGCUAACUCCGUGCCAGCAGCCGUGGUAAUACGGAGGGUGCGAGCGUUAAUCGGAAUUACUGGGCGUAAAGCGCGCGUAGGUGGCUUGAUAAGCCGGUUGUGAAAGCCCCGGGCUCAACCUGGGAACGGCAUCCGGAACUGUCAAGCUAGAGUGCAGGAGAGGAAGGUAGAAUUCCCGGUGUAGCGGUGAAAUGCGUAGAGAUCGGGAGGAAUACCAGUGGCGAAGGCGGCCUUCUGGACUGACACUGACACUGAGGUGCGAAAGCGUGGGUAGCAAACAGGAUUAGAUACCCUUGUAGUC